ACUGCAGAGGAUGAAUGUUGUAGAGAUUAUUAUAGAAAUGACCCGGGAUCAUGCGAACCUUGUAUUGGAUUCAGUGGAUAUAACUGUUCUAAACCUUGUGAGUUUGGAUUCUUUGGACAUGGUUGUCGUGAGAAGUGUAACUGCAGUAGUGAUACUCAUUGGUGUGAUGUAUACAAAAAUUUGGUAUAAAAAGUUAUAAAUGUUUUAAUUUCUGGUAUUUUUCAAUAGAAAAAUUAAAUUGCUUUCUUGUUAA
Molecule: long non-coding RNA, 253 nt
Organism: Saccostrea cuccullata (small rock oyster)
Lineage: Eukaryota; Metazoa; Mollusca; Bivalvia; Ostreida; Ostreidae
Exons: 2
Source: RefSeq, a predicted model, not a curated record